UUGUUCUGUUCAAUUCUAUGUGGGCAGUUCUACUUUUUUUUUUCAUGGGAAAGAAGCCAAUGUCAUUCAGCCAAAAUACAAAAGCCAAGAUGGUAUCUUACUAUUGACCCAAUGAA
Non-coding RNA from Fukomys damarensis (Damara mole-rat), 116 nucleotides. NCBI's taxonomy places the organism in Eukaryota, Metazoa, Chordata, Mammalia, Rodentia, Bathyergidae. The record is from Rfam.